RNAcentral lists this long non-coding RNA (549 nucleotides) under Phoenix dactylifera (date palm). Its description in RNAcentral is "long non-coding RNA (PDAC_LNC015896)". Lineage: Eukaryota; Viridiplantae; Streptophyta; Magnoliopsida; Arecales; Arecaceae. The record is from RNAcentral.
AGUGCACCAAUUGUGUAAUGGUUUCCAAACCUUGAAGGGCGUUCAACACUUUCUCCUCAAAGGCUGUGUUUCUUUGGGGUGGAGGAGGAGUAUGUUGAAAUUGAGUCGUGGGACGGUAGGGAUGAAUAUUUUGUGGGGUUUGAAAAUUCUGGAAGUAGGGUUGGGCAGUAUUCGAAGCUUGCUGCUUCCAAGACAAGUUUGGAUGAUUUUGCUAUCCCAGGUUAUAUGUAUUGGAAAAUAGGUCAUUACCCGGUCAGUUGGUCAAUCUUAUGGGACAAUGCAUCUGCCUUGCUAGAUAGGUCCAUAGAAUGACUUAUUUCACAGAUGGUCCCUUUUCUUUGAGAACUCGAGGGUGCUUGACGAGAACAAGAAGUAUGGUGGAGGGAGUUUUCAUUUAGAUUUUCAAAUAAUUGCCAUGCUUCAUGCUCAUUUUGAAGCAUAAAUGUCCCCCCGCAUGCGGCAUCAAUCAUCUGACGGUUUCGUUCAGUCAAUCCGUCAUAGAAACAUUGCACUAGCUGCCAUUUAGGUAUUUGAUGAUGUGGGCAUUUA